Molecule: ribosomal RNA, 502 nt
Filed under: uncultured bacterium
Lineage: Bacteria
Description: partial 16S ribosomal RNA
Rfam family: Bacterial small subunit ribosomal RNA
Source: RNAcentral
AUUGAACGCUGGCGGAAUGCUUUACACAUGCAAGUCGAACGGCAGCACGGGUGCUUGCACCUGGUGGCGAGUGGCGAACGGGUGAGUAAUAUAUCGGAACGUAUCCAAUAAUGGGGGAUAACUAGCCGUAAGGUUAGCUAAUACCGCAUACGCCCUGAGGGGGAAAGCUGGGGAUCGUAAGACCUAGCGUUGAUGGAGCGGCCGAUAUCUGAUUAGCUGGUUGGUGGGGUAAGAGCCUACCAAGGCGACGAUCAGUAGCUGGUCUGAGAGGACGACCAGCCACACUGGAACUGAGACACGGUCCAGACUCCUACGGGAGGCAGCAGUGGGGAAUUUUGGACAAUGGGGGCAACCCUGAUCCAGCCAUUCCGCGUGAGUGAAGAAGGCCUUCGGGUUGUAAAGCUCUUUCGCAAAGGAAGAAAACUCGAUCUCUAAUAUAGGUUGAGGCUGACGGUACCUUGAUAAGAAGCACCGGCUAACUACGUGCCAGCCGCCGCGGUAA